RNAcentral lists this ribosomal RNA (444 nucleotides) under uncultured bacterium. Its description in RNAcentral is "partial 16S ribosomal RNA". It matches the Rfam family "Bacterial small subunit ribosomal RNA", at positions 338 to 795 of the family's 1533-position model. The record is from RNAcentral.
CCUACGUGGGGCAGCAGUGGGGAAUAUUGCACAAUGGGCGCAAGCCUGAUGCAGCAACGCCGCGUGAGCGAAGAAGGUCUUCGGAUCGUAAAGCUCUGUCCUUGAGGAAGAAGGAAGUGACGGUACUCAAGGAGGAAGCCCCGGCUAACUACGUGCCAGCAGCCGCGGUAAUACGUAGGGGGCAAGCGUUGUUCGGAAUGACUGGGCGUAAAGGGUGUGUAGGCGGUGUAGCAAGUUAGAAGUGAAAUACCUAGAGCUUAACUCAGGUGCUGCUUCUAAAACUGCUAUACUUGAGUGCAGUAGAGGAAAGUGGAAUUCCUAGUGUAGCGGUGGAAUGCGUAGAUAUUAGGAGGAACAUCAGUGGCGAAGGCGACUUUCUGGACUGUAACUGACGCUGAGGCACGAAAGUGUGGGGAGCAAACAGGAUUAGAUACCCCAGUAGUC